GGCCGAGUGGCGGAAUUGGCAGACGCAAGGGAUUUAAAAUCCCUCGGGGAGUUAUCCCCUUACGGGUUCGAGUCCCGUCUCGGCUA
Molecule: transfer RNA, 86 nt
Filed under: Planctomycetales bacterium
Lineage: Bacteria; Pseudomonadati; Planctomycetota; Planctomycetia; Planctomycetales
Description: tRNA-Leu
Rfam family: tRNA
About the family: Transfer RNA (tRNA) molecules are approximately 80 nucleotides in length.
Source: RNAcentral